AGAGAACCAAAUACUGAUCCUCCAAACACAAAAACUGGAAAAUAUUAAUUUUCUUUUUCCCCCUUUGAGCUGGCUCAAAAGAACUAAAGGCUAAUGAAAAAGUCUUGUAGUAAUUAGAUGAUUUGAUUAGGUUUACUUUAUUAUUGCCUUGUGGGAGAAAAGCAGUCUUAGGCAAAUUUCUAAAGAUGAUGAAUUACCCACUUUUCAAUGGGGUUAGGUUUGAGAUGAUGCAAGAGUGGGGUUACUCUUGUGAAGUGUAAUUAUAUUAGUCAAAUUAAUUUUUAUUUUGAAGAUAGAAAAUUAAUAAAG
This 309-nucleotide unclassified non-coding RNA is filed under the name Hevea brasiliensis (rubber tree). Lineage: Eukaryota; Viridiplantae; Streptophyta; Magnoliopsida; Malpighiales; Euphorbiaceae. The record is from RNAcentral.